GUAGCUAAACUAAAGUAGAUGUUUUGAAAACAUCCGAUAGAUAAUUUAACG
This 51-nucleotide transfer RNA is filed under the name Trachelipus rathkii. Its description in RNAcentral is "tRNA-Ser". Lineage: Eukaryota; Metazoa; Arthropoda; Malacostraca; Isopoda; Trachelipodidae. The record is from RNAcentral.